RNAcentral lists this ribosomal RNA (268 nucleotides) under uncultured bacterium. RNAcentral describes it as "partial 16S ribosomal RNA". It matches the Rfam family "Bacterial small subunit ribosomal RNA", at positions 793 to 1055 of the family's 1533-position model. The record is from RNAcentral.
GUCCACGCCCUAAACGAUGGAUACUAGGCGUGAGAGGUAUCGACCCCUCUCGUGCCGCAGCUAACGCACUAAGUAUCCCGCCUGGGGAGUACGGCCGCAAGGUUGAAACUCAAAUGAAUUGACGGGGACCCGCACAAGCGGUGGAGCAUGUGGAUUAAUUCGAUACUAACCGAAGAACCUUACCCAGACUUGACAUCGAUGGUAAGCCGUUGAAAGACGGCCCUCCCUCUCAAGGGGGACCAGAAGACACUUGUUGCAUGGCUGUCGU